AGACACAGGACUUCUCUACCUGCUCUUAGCCAAUGUUUGAAGAUAACGUGGUGGCUAAUAUCAUUUAAAAGAGGACAUGCAAGUUUCAUUAGGUUAAGUAACUGGCCCAGGGUCACACAGAAAUAACAACGGAUACAAAUUCCACAGUCAGGAACUCAGAAUCUUUCAUGCCACUGAAUACAAAGACCUUCUCAGUGUCCUCUUUGAAAAGUACAGAAAGUUCCAGAACCAGCUUCCUUUAAAUUUUUUUUUCCUAGUAAGUGAAUUUGGGCAGUUGUCUCCUGAGGGCUGAGAACGACCCUAUCACAAGACUUGGGCGUGGGUGACCUAGGUACAUAGAUGCAGCACAGAUGUGCAGAUACAACGUAUUCUUGCUGUGCUACAAGGUCAGAGCAGAUUGGACUACAACACCGAACAGAAGAAGCUACAGCGAGGCUCCAGUCUAAACGCACACCUAUUGUGGAAAUCACCUCUGUGUCAAAUGAACUUUUCAUCACAGCCGGCCCAGUGUCUCUUGCUUCAGUGGUAUCUGUCUUGCCCUUAGUCAUAAAAGUGUAAUAUUUGGGAGGUUCUAGAAUCUCUUUCAGAAUCCCUGUAUAAGGAUGGAUCCUUUUAUUCUGUAGAACCUCAGCAUGACGCCUGGCACACAGUAGGUUUACAAUGUGUGUUCGUAAUGAUGAUGAUCACGGGAGUGAGUGUGUCCGGUCUCACUUUUUUUUUGUGCCUCACUGGUGG
RNAcentral lists this long non-coding RNA (735 nucleotides) under Rattus norvegicus (Norway rat). RNAcentral describes it as "long non-coding RNA NONRATT028257". Lineage: Eukaryota; Metazoa; Chordata; Mammalia; Rodentia; Muridae. The record is from RNAcentral.